This is a non-coding RNA of Pteropus alecto (black flying fox), 96 nucleotides long. NCBI's taxonomy places the organism in Eukaryota, Metazoa, Chordata, Mammalia, Chiroptera, Pteropodidae. The record is from Rfam.
GUGCUUGCUUCGGUGGCACAUAUACUAAAAUUGAGAAGAUUAGCAUGGCCCCUGUGCAAGAAUGACACACAAAUUUGUGAAGCAUUCCAUAUCUUU